This 253-nucleotide ribosomal RNA is filed under the name uncultured bacterium. RNAcentral's name for it is "partial 16S ribosomal RNA". It matches the Rfam family "Bacterial small subunit ribosomal RNA", at positions 524 to 776 of the family's 1533-position model. The record is from RNAcentral.
UACGUAGGGUGCAAGCGUUAAUCGGAAGUACUGGGCGUAAAGCGUGCGCAGGCGGUUUUGUAAGUCUGUCGUGAAAGCCCCGGGCUCAACCUGGGAAUUGCGAUGGAGACUGCAAGGCUUGAAUCUGGCAGAGGGGGGUAGAAUUCCACGUGUAGCAGUGAAAUGCGUAGAGAUGUGGAGGAACACCGAUGGCGAAGGCAGCCCCCUGGGUCAAGAUUGACGCUCAUGCACGAAAGCGUGGGGAGCAAACAGG